UCACUUUUAUACCUUGAACGUAUAUUAAUUUCUUUAUCUUUUUUUUGCAUGCAAAAAAAAUGUCUCGAGUCCAAAUGGAUUCCUCUCUUCUUGCAUUUCAUAAUGGGCCAAUGAGGUCCACCCCUUCGAGUCAAGUUCGAAGUUUAAACCCGAGGUCCACUACAUGGCGUGCGGGUGCUAGAAAUAUACGAAGAAGGAAAAUGGGUCAAAACCCAUUGAUG
Molecule: long non-coding RNA, 221 nt
Filed under: Capsicum annuum
Lineage: Eukaryota; Viridiplantae; Streptophyta; Magnoliopsida; Solanales; Solanaceae
Description: long non-coding RNA (CANN_LNC005653)
Source: RNAcentral